AUUGAACGCUGGCGGCAGGCCUAACACAUGCAAGUCGAGCGGAUGAAGGGAGCUUGCUCCUGGAUUCAGCGGCGGACGGGUGAGUAAUGCCUAGGAAUCUGCCUGGUAGUGGGGGAUAACGUCCGGAAACGGGCGCUAAUACCGCAUACGUCCUGAGGGAGAAAGUGGGGGAUCUUCGGACCUCACGCUAUCAGAUGAGCCUAGGUCGGAUUAGCUAGUUGGUGGGGUAAAGGCCUACCAAGGCGACGAUCCGUAACUGGUCUGAGAGGAUGAUCAGUCACAAUGGAACUGAGACACGGGCCAGACUCCUAGGGGAGGCAGCAGUGGGGAAUAUUGGACAAUGGGCGAAAGCCUGAUCCAGCCAUGCCGCGUGUGUGAAGAAGGUCUUCGGAUUGUAAAGCACUUUAAGUUGGGAGGAAGGGCAGUAAGUUAAUACCUUGCUGUUUUGACGUUACCAACAGAAUAAGCACCGGCUAACUUCGUG
RNAcentral lists this ribosomal RNA (484 nucleotides) under uncultured bacterium. RNAcentral's name for it is "partial 16S ribosomal RNA". It matches the Rfam family "Bacterial small subunit ribosomal RNA", at positions 30 to 507 of the family's 1533-position model. The record is from RNAcentral.